UACGUAGGGUGCGAGCGUUAAUCGGAAUUACUGGGCGUAAAGCGUGCGCAGGCGGUUCGUCGUGUCCGAUGUGAAAGCCCCGGGCUCAACCGGGGAACUGCGUCUGAUACUGGAUGGCUUGAGAUUGGGAGAGGGAUGCGGAAUUCCUGGUGUAGCGGUGAAAUGCGCAGAUAUCAGGAGGAACACCGGUGGCGAAGGCGGGUCUCUGGGCCGAAACUGACGCUGAGGAGCGAAAGCGUGGGGAGCGAACAGG
This 253-nucleotide ribosomal RNA is filed under the name uncultured bacterium. RNAcentral describes it as "partial 16S ribosomal RNA". It matches the Rfam family "Bacterial small subunit ribosomal RNA", at positions 524 to 776 of the family's 1533-position model. The record is from RNAcentral.